GUGCAAGCGUUAUCCGGAUUCAUUGGGUUUAAAGGGUGCGUAGGCGGCUUCAUAAGUCACUCGUGAAAUCGUGUGGCUCAACCAUGCAACUGCGAUUGAUACUGCGAAGCUUGAAUAAGGUUGAGGUAGGCGGAAUGUGACAUGUAGCGGUGAAAUGCUUAGAUAUGUCAUAGAACACCGAUUGCGAAGGCAGCUUACUGGGCCUGAAUUGACGCUGAGGCACGAAAGCGUGGGGAUC
RNAcentral lists this ribosomal RNA (238 nucleotides) under uncultured bacterium. RNAcentral's name for it is "partial 16S ribosomal RNA". It matches the Rfam family "Bacterial small subunit ribosomal RNA", at positions 532 to 769 of the family's 1533-position model. The record is from RNAcentral.